AUUGUGUCAGCCGCCGCGCGGUAAUACGGAGGUGGCGAGCGUUACUCGGAAUCAUUGGGUGUAAAGGGCAAGUAGGCGGCCUGUUAAGUGAGGGGUGAAAUCUUCCGACUCAAUCGGAAAACUGCCUUUCAAACUGACGGGCUUGAGGUUGGAAGAGGGAAACGGAAUUAGCAGUGUAAGGGUGAAAUCUGUAGAUAUUGCUAAGAACACCGGCGGCGAAGGCGGUUUCCUGGUCUGAACCUGACGCUGAAUUGCGAAAGCUAGGGGAGCGAACAGAAUUAGAUACUCUGGUAGUCCUAGCCGUAAACGAUGAGCACUAGGUGUUGGUCCUUCUAGGGUCAGUGCCGCAGCUAACGCAUUAAGUGCUCCACCUGGGGACUACGGCCGCAAGGCUAAAACUCAAAGGAAUUGACGGGGACCCGCACAAGCGGUGGAACAUGUGGUUUAAUUCGAUGCUACGCGAAGAACCUCACCAGGGCUUGACAUACAGGAAGUAGUGAACUGAAAGGGGAACGACCCGUUAAGUCGGGAGCUUGUACAGGUGCUGCAUGGCUGUCGUCAGCUCGUGUCGUGAGAUGUUGGGUUAAGUCCCGCAACGAGCGCAACCAUUGCCACAUGUUGCUACCCUCAUUUGCUUUCGAAAGAAAGCGGUGAGGCGCACUCUUGGGGGACUGCCUGGGAUAACCAGGAGGAAGGUGGAGAUGACGUCAAGUCAGUACGGCCCUUAUGCCCUGGGCUACACACGUGUUACAAUGGCUGGUAUAAAGGGUUGCCAACCCGCGAGGGGGAGCUAAUCUCAAAAAACCAGCCUCAGUUCGGAUUGGAGUCUGCAAUUCGACUCCAUGAAGCCGGAAUCGCUAGUAAUGGGAGAUCAGCUCGCUCCCGUGAAUACGUUCCCGGGUCUUGCACACACCGCCCGUCAAAU
RNAcentral lists this ribosomal RNA (925 nucleotides) under uncultured bacterium. RNAcentral describes it as "bacterial SSU rRNA". It matches the Rfam family "Bacterial small subunit ribosomal RNA", at positions 502 to 1402 of the family's 1533-position model. The record is from RNAcentral.